CAACUCUUUCCCCUCCCUCUCCCUCUUCCAAAUGACUUCUGAUCAUCAAUCUACUGCUCAUUGAUUCACCACAACCCCAUCGAUCCAUCCAAUUUAGGCUAUUUAAUUCUCAGAUCCAAGGGAUUGAGAGAGAAAAUGUUGACGAAGUUUGAGACCAAGAGUAAUAGAGUGAAAGGUCUGAGUUUCCACAGCAAGCGGCCAUGGAUCUUGGCUAGCCUUCACAGUGGUGUGAUCCAGCUAUGGGAUUACCGGAUGGGCACUCUCAUUGAUCGUUUUGAUGAGCAUGACGGCCCCGUUCGUGGCGUGCACUUUCAUCAAUCACAGCCUCUUUUCGUUUCCGGAGGAGAUGAUUACAAGAUCAAAGUAUGGAACUAUAAACUGCAUCGGUGUUUGUUUACGCUGCUUGGCCAUCUUGAUUAUAUACGCACAGUUCAGUUUCACCAUGAGAACCCCUGGAUUGUUAGUGCUAGUGAUGAUCAAACUAUCCGGAUAUGGAAUUGGCAAUCUCGUACUUGUAUAUCCGUUUUGACUGGGCACAACCAUUAUGUAAUGUGUGCUUUGUUCCAUCCGAAGGAGGACCUCGUGGUAUCAGCAUCAUUGGAUCAGACCGUUCGAGUUUGGGAUAUUGGUGCCCUGAAGAAGAAAACAGUUUCCCCUGCUGAUGAUAUCCUUCGGCUGAGUCAGAUGAAUACAGAUUUUUUUGGAGGGGUUGAUGCUGUUGUGAAGUAUGUCUUGGAGGGCCAUGAUCGAGGAGUCAAUUGGGCAUCAUUCCAUCCCACUCUUCCUCUUAUUGUUUCAGGAGCUGAUGAUCGCCAAGUUAAAAUCUGGCGAAUGAAUGAUACAAAAGCUUGGGAAGUAGACACAUUGAGAGGUCACAUGAAUAAUGUAUCAUGUGUUCUUUUCCAUGCAAGACAGGACAUUAUAGUAUCAAACUCAGAGGAUAAAAGUAUACGUGUUUGGGAUGCUACAAAAAGGACAGGCCUGCAAACUUUCCGCAGGGAGCAUGACAGGUUCUGGAUUCUUGGGUGUCAUCCUGAGAUGAACCUUCUGGCGGCUGGCCAUGAUAGUGGUAUGAUUGUUUUCAAGUUGGAGAGAGAACGCCCAGCUUUCUCUGUUAGCGGUGAUUCCCUGUACUUCGUGAAAGACCGUUUUCUGCGGUUCUAUGAGUACUCUUCUCAGAAAGACACUCAAAUAUUACCAAUCCGUAGGCCUGGGUCUAUCAGCUUGAACCAGGGUCCUAGAACUCUCUCUUAUAGCCCUACUGAAAAUGCGGUUCUAAUAUGUUCAGAGGUAGAUGGGGGAUCUUAUGAACUCUAUAUCAUACCUAAAGAUAGUUUUAGUAGAGGUGAUACAGUUCAAGAGGCAAAACGAGGAAUUGGGGGAUCUGCAGUUUUUGUGGCUCGAAAUAGGUUUGCAGUUCUUGAGAAGAGCACCAAUCAAGUGUUAGUCAAGAACUUAAAGAAUGAGAUUGUGAAGAAGAGUCCUCUUCCUGUUGUCACUGAUGCUAUAUUCUAUGCCGGUACAGGUAACUUGUUAUGCAGGGCAGAGGAUAGAGUGUUCAUCUUUGACCUUCAACAGCGAAUGGUUCUUGGUGACCUUCAAACUUCUUUUGUAAGAUAUGUUGUUUGGUCAAAUGACAUGGAGAGUGUUGCUUUGCUUAGCAAACAUUCAAUAAUCAUAGCUGAUAAGAAGCUUGUUCACCGCUGCACCCUUCAUGAAACAAUCCGAGUCAAGAGUGGAUCCUGGGAUGAUAAUGGUGUGUUCAUUUACACAACCCUAACCCAUAUCAAGUACUGCCUUCCUAAUGGGGACAGUGGAAUCAUCAGGACACUUGAUGUUCCGGUGUACAUCACAAAGAUAUUUGGAAAUACAAUUUUUUGCUUGGACCGAGAUGGGAAAAACCGCCCAAUAAUUAUUGAUUCAACUGAGUAUAUCUUCAAGCUAUCUCUGCUGAAAAAGAGAUAUGACCACGUAAUGAGCAUGAUAAGGAACUCAGAGCUGUGCGGGCAAGCCAUGAUUGCAUAUCUCCAGCAAAAAGGUUUCCCAGAGGUUGCUCUCCAUUUCGUGAAGGAUGAGAGAACUCGCUUCAAUUUAGCACUUGAAAGUGGAAACAUCCAGAUAGCUGUUGCUUCUGCAAAAGAGAUUGAUGAGAAAGAUCACUGGUAUAGGUUGGGCGUUGAGGCCCUUCGUCAGGGCAAUUCUGGUAUUGUUGAAUAUGCAUACCAGAGGACGAAAAACUUUGAGAGGCUAUCCUUCCUGUAUCUGAUAACAGGAAAUUUGGAUAAAUUGUCCAAAAUGAUGAAAAUCGCUGAGGUAAAAAAUGAUGUUAUGGGGCAGUUCCAUAAUGCUUUGUACCUGGGUGAUGUCCAAGAGCGAAUCAAGAUUUUGAUAAAUGCUGGUCAUCUACCACUAGCAUAUGCUACUGCUAAGACCCAUGGAUUGAACGAUAUUGUCGAAGACCUUGCUGAUAAACUUGAAGGUAAUGUUCCUUCUUUGCCCAGUGGUGGGUCUGCUUCUCUUUUGAUGCCCCCAACUCCCGUCUUAUGCGGUGGAGACUGGCCAUUACUGAGGGUCAUGAAAGGGAUCUUUGAGGGUGGCCUUGACAAUAUUGGAAGGGGUACAAAUGAAGAGUAUGAAGAUGCUGGUGAUGCUGAUUGGGGUGAGGAUGUGGAUAUUGUGGAUGUAGAGAACAUUCAGAAUGGAGAUAUCAGCAUGGUGCUGGAUGAUGAAGAAGCACCUGAAGAAAAUGAAGAGGGAGGUUGGGAUCUCGAGGAUCUUGAACUUCCUCCUGAUAUUGAAACCCCCAAAGCUACGACUGCUGCCCGCUCUUCAGUAUUUGUGGCACCUACUGCUGGUAUGCCCGUCAGCCAGAUUUGGGUGCAGAAAUCAUCUCUUGCUGCUGAACAUGCAGCAGCUGGAAACUUUGACACUGCGAUGCGCUUGCUAAGCCGGCAGCUCGGAAUAAAGAACUUUGCACCGUUAAAAUCAUUGUUUAUUGAUCUUCACAUGGGAAGUCAUACUUACUUGCGUGCGUUCUCAUCAGCUCCAUUGAUCUCCCUGGCCAUCGAGAGGGGUUGGAGCGAAUCAGCAAGUCCUAAUGUCCGGGCCCCUCCUGCACUCGUGUUUAAUUUCCCUCAGUUGGAAGAAAAGCUCAAGGCUGGUUACAAAGCCACCACCACUGGGAAGUUCACUGAAGCUUUGCGACUUUUUCUGGGUAUUCUUCAUACGAUUCCCCUGAUUGUUGUCGAGUCAAGAAGAGAGGUGGAUGAAGUUAAAGAGUUGAUUAUUAUUGUGAAAGAGUAUGUUCUGGGUUUACAGAUGGAACUUAAAAGAAGAGAACUGAAGGACAACCCGGUUCGUCAACAGGAACUGGCCGCUUACUUCACUCACUGUAACCUUCAGCUACCACACUUGAGACUUGCCUUGAUGAAUGCUAUGACUGUAUGCUACAAGGCUGGUAAUCUAAUCACAGCAUCAAACUUUGCCAGGAGGCUCAUGGAGACCAACCCAACUGCAGAAAACCAAACCAGAACUGCCCGUUCAGUUAUGCAGGCUGCUGAGAGGAACAUGAAAGAUUCCACACAGCUGAAUUAUGACUUCAGAAAUCCAUUUGUCGUUUGUGGAGCAACUUAUGUCCCUAUAUACCGGGGACAGAAGGAUGUAUUAUGCCCAUACUGCAGUUCACACUUUGUUCUUUCCCAGGAAGGGCAGCUUUGUACUGUUUGUGACCUAGCCGUGGUCGGAUCAGAUGCUUCUGGUUUGCUAUGUUCUCCAGCACAGAUCAGAUGAUUCAAAAAGUAACCCUGACAGGCUUGCCAGCCUCAGUUCUUUGGGCUCUGAUGCAAGGGUGUGGCUAUAUGCAUCAUCAAUUAGGUACAUCAAACUCGGGGAUACAGCACACUUAAUCGCUUAUGGCAUGGUCGGUAUAAGUGGUGGGGAAUACUUACUGCAGAUGGGUGGUGUUUUGUGGGAUGUUUGAAUAUUUUUGGGUGAUGGUGCUAUUCUUGUAUCUAUCAUGAGUAGGCAGGCAGCAGGGAGGCCAGCACAGUAAACUGUAGAGUAAAUUUUGUUUUCAGAUGUCUUGAAAGGUAUAUUGGGAAUGGGAACAUGCAUGCCUAGGGUUCCAUAUUUUUAUGUUGGAAUAUUUGUUCAACUACUACUGACUGCCUGCUUUAAGAUGUAGUAGUAACCAAUUAAUAUUUGCUUUGAUUUCAGGUCUUGUUCAAAUCACACAUUUUG
Molecule: RNA transcript, 4239 nt
Organism: Cynara cardunculus var. scolymus (artichoke)
Lineage: Eukaryota; Viridiplantae; Streptophyta; Magnoliopsida; Asterales; Asteraceae
Gene name: coatomer subunit alpha-1-like
Exons: 6
Source: RefSeq, a predicted model, not a curated record